Cinara cedri is the source of this 315-nucleotide non-coding RNA. The record is from the annotation of a GenBank genome assembly. NCBI's taxonomy places the organism in Eukaryota, Metazoa, Arthropoda, Insecta, Hemiptera, Aphididae.
CGUAUAAUUUUCCACCUAAACUUAUGAACCGAAUCCUACAUAAUCUGUCCAUGUACGUGAACAAAGUUUGCUUGUUAAACUAUAUAAUGUAUUCUAAUAUCUAAAUUAGUUUUACAUUGUUUUCGCGAUUAAUUAUGGUUUGUACAUUUGCGUGGGCCCGAAUACGAAACAAGCAGUGAAAACGUAAGUGCAGCGCAGUGAAUUCCGCCGAAGAAAUUCAACGUGUACCGUCAUAUCUGAUGUUAGUUUUUGAAAUUCGUUAAAACAACUUUUGGGAACACAAAAAAAUAUCUCUAAUAUUGUGUGGGCGGGCAC